UGCCCCAUGGUGUAACGGUAGCACAUCAGAUUCUGGUUCUGCUUGUCUGGGUUCGAAUCCUAGUGGGGCAACAA
RNAcentral lists this transfer RNA (74 nucleotides) under Bacteroidia bacterium. Its description in RNAcentral is "tRNA-Gln". It matches the Rfam family "tRNA". Rfam says of the family: Transfer RNA (tRNA) molecules are approximately 80 nucleotides in length. Their secondary structure includes four short double-helical elements and three loops (D, anti-codon, and T loops). Lineage: Bacteria; Pseudomonadati; Bacteroidota; Bacteroidia. The record is from RNAcentral.